AAGAAAGUGACAGAGCGGUUUUGUGUUUGGCUUGAAACCAAUUUACGGGGGUUCGAUUCCUCCCUUUCUGG
This 71-nucleotide transfer RNA is filed under the name Sillago parvisquamis (small-scale sillago). RNAcentral's name for it is "tRNA-Ser". It matches the Rfam family "tRNA". Rfam says of the family: Transfer RNA (tRNA) molecules are approximately 80 nucleotides in length. Their secondary structure includes four short double-helical elements and three loops (D, anti-codon, and T loops). Lineage: Eukaryota; Metazoa; Chordata; Actinopteri; Sillaginidae. The record is from RNAcentral.